GACGUAGGGCGCGAGCGUUGUCCGGAUUUAUUGGGCGUAAAGAGCUCGUAGGCGGCUUGUUGCGUCGUCCGUGAAAACCCGCAGCUCAACUGCGGGCUUGCGGACGAUACGGGCAGGCUGGAGUUCGGUAGGGGAGACUGGAAUUCCUGGUGUAGCGGUGAAAUGCGCAGAUAUCAGGAGGAACACCGGUGGCGAAGGCGGGUCUCUGGGCCGAUACUGACGCUGAGGAGCGAAAGCGUGGGGAGCGAACAGG
This 253-nucleotide ribosomal RNA is filed under the name uncultured bacterium. RNAcentral's name for it is "partial 16S ribosomal RNA". It matches the Rfam family "Bacterial small subunit ribosomal RNA", at positions 524 to 776 of the family's 1533-position model. The record is from RNAcentral.